GUUCAGCUUCUUCUACGUUUUUUUUUUUUUUUAGAGAAGUGGAAAUGUUUGCAGAGAGAUGAAUGCUCACUCGCAGCAAAAAAAACCAAAAAAACAAACAAACAAAAAACCCCAUCAAACCUUGUUUGUGAGCUCGCUGUUUGGAAAUGGACUACUUUCAAAAGACGUCUGGGGGAAUAAGAAGGUAAAAUGCAGCUUUGAAUGGCAAGUCAGUGGUGUUUUCACGCUUUUUAUUAAGCAUUAACCACUUAAGGUCACAUCUUAUGAUUCAGUUAUUCAUCUUAAAGCAUAACCGUCAUUUUAUUCAUCGGAUUAUUCAGUAACUACUGUGAAUUAUUUAGCAACCGCUCAUAUGAAAAGAUAUGUAGCUGGGGAAUGUGGGCAUUAUCGGUGUAACGCAGCGUCACUAGCUGUAUCUGUUUAGUGCUCCGAAUAACUAUAUCCGUAUCUGUAUUUGGAUUUUAAGUGGGCGUGGCCUAAAAGAGAAGUUAUUAUUAGACGUUUAAAAAUUAAAUAGGAAUCCUUAGACUAUGACCUCAGAAACACCGGAAAACUCUGGAAAUAAACUGAGGUAGAAGCGUGCACCAAACAUUUCUGGCAAGCUUUCACAAAACAAAACAAGACAAAACAAAGCAAGACAAAACAAAACAAGACAAAACAAGACAAGACAAAACAAGACAAGACAACACAAACAAGACAACACAAGUCAAGACAAGACAAAACAAG
Molecule: long non-coding RNA, 726 nt
Organism: Ictalurus punctatus (channel catfish)
Lineage: Eukaryota; Metazoa; Chordata; Actinopteri; Siluriformes; Ictaluridae
Source: Ensembl